This 491-nucleotide ribosomal RNA is filed under the name uncultured bacterium. RNAcentral's name for it is "bacterial SSU rRNA". It matches the Rfam family "Bacterial small subunit ribosomal RNA", at positions 38 to 507 of the family's 1533-position model. The record is from RNAcentral.
GGCGGCAGGCCUAACACAUGCAAGUCGAGCGGAAACGAGUUAACUGAACCUUCGGGGAACGUUAACGGCGUCGAGCGGCGGACGGGUGAGUAAUGCCCUGGGAAAUUGCCCUGAUGUGGGGGAUAACCAUUGGAAACGAUGGCUAAUACCGCAUAAUAGCUUCGGCUCAAAGAGGGGGACCUUCGGGCCUCUCGCGUCAGGAUAUGCCCAGGUGGGAUUAGCUAGUUGGUGAGGUAAGGGCUCACCAAGGCGACGAUCCCUAGCUGGUCUGAGAGGAUGAUCAGCCACACUGGAACUGAGACACGGUCCAGACUCCUACGGGAGGCAGCAGUGGGGAAUAUUGCACAAUGGGCGCAAGCCUGAUGCAGCCAUGCCGCGUGUAUGAAGAAGGCCUUCGGGUUGUAAAGUACUUUCAGCAGUGAGGAAGGUUCAUACGUUAAUAGCGUAUGGAUUUGACGUUAGCUGCAGAAGAAGCACCGGCUAACUCCGUG